GCUCGACCUGCGGGUCGAGCAUUAAACAAACGCUUUACAAUACAGAGAAGAUUAGCAUGGUUCCUGUGCAAGGUUAACACGCAUUAUUGAAGAGAAGCAAUCCUUUUUU
Molecule: small nuclear RNA, 109 nt
Organism: Fragilariopsis cylindrus CCMP1102
Lineage: Eukaryota; Bacillariophyta; Bacillariophyceae; Bacillariales; Bacillariaceae
Source: Rfam